RNAcentral lists this transfer RNA (82 nucleotides) under Dendronephthya gigantea. Its description in RNAcentral is "tRNA-Ser". It matches the Rfam family "tRNA". Rfam says of the family: Transfer RNA (tRNA) molecules are approximately 80 nucleotides in length. Their secondary structure includes four short double-helical elements and three loops (D, anti-codon, and T loops). Lineage: Eukaryota; Metazoa; Cnidaria; Anthozoa; Malacalcyonacea; Nephtheidae. The record is from RNAcentral.
GUAGUCGUGGCCGAGUGGUUAAGGCGACAGACUUGAAAUCUGUUGGGAUAUUCCCGCGCAGGUUCAAAUCCUGCCGAUUACG